Molecule: microRNA precursor, 87 nt
Organism: Meriones unguiculatus (Mongolian gerbil)
Lineage: Eukaryota; Metazoa; Chordata; Mammalia; Rodentia; Muridae
Source: Ensembl
UGAGGGCCCCUCUGCGUGUUCACAGCGGACCUUGAUUUAAUGUCUAUACAAUUAAGGCACGCGGUGAAUGCCAAGAGAGGCGCCUCC